UCCCUGGUGGUCUAGUGGUUAAGACUACACACUUUCACUGUAGGAGGCACAGGGUUGAAUCCCUAGUCAGGGAA
This 74-nucleotide transfer RNA is filed under the name Bos taurus (domestic cattle). It matches the Rfam family "tRNA". From Rfam's summary of the family: Transfer RNA (tRNA) molecules are approximately 80 nucleotides in length. The record is from Rfam by way of RNAcentral. Lineage: Eukaryota; Metazoa; Chordata; Mammalia; Artiodactyla; Bovidae. RNAcentral also lists the same sequence under 2 other names.